UCCGUAGGUGGACAAUUAAGUCAGAGGUGAAAGUUUGCAGCUCAACUGUAAAAUUGCCUUUGAUACUGGUUGUCUUGAAUUAUUGUGAAGUGGUUAGAAUAUGUAGUGUAGCGGUGAAAUGCAUAGAUAUUACAUAGAAUACCAAUUGCGAAGGCAGAUCACUAACAAUAUAUUGACACUGAUGGACGAAAGCGUGGGGAGCGAACAGGAUUAGAUACCCUGGUAGUCC
This 229-nucleotide ribosomal RNA is filed under the name uncultured bacterium. RNAcentral's name for it is "partial 16S ribosomal RNA". It matches the Rfam family "Bacterial small subunit ribosomal RNA", at positions 568 to 796 of the family's 1533-position model. The record is from RNAcentral.